GAGAGCACUCCUACGGGAGGCAGCAGUGGGGAAUAUUGCACAAUGGGCGCAAGCCUGAUGCAGCCAUGCCGCGUGUAUGAAGAAGGCCUUCGGGUUGUAAAGUACUUUCAGCAGUGAGGAAGGUGGGUAUGUUAAUAGCAUACUCAUUUGACGUUAGCUGCAGAAGAAGCACCGGCUAACUCCGUGCCAGCAGCCGCGGUAAUACGGAGGGUGCGAGCGUUAAUCGGAAUUACUGGGCGUAAAGCGCAUGCAGGUGGUUUGUUAAGUCAGAUGUGAAAGCCCGGGGCUCAACCUCGGAAUUGCAUUUGAAACUGGCAAACUAGAGUACUGUAGAGGGGGUAGAAUUUCAGGUGUAGCGGUGAAAUGCGUAGAGAUCUGAAGGAAUACCGGUGGCGAAGGCGGCCCCCUGGACAGAUACUGACACUCAGAUGCGAAAGCGUGGGGAGCAAACAGGAUUAGAUACCCUGGUAG
This 471-nucleotide ribosomal RNA is filed under the name uncultured bacterium. RNAcentral describes it as "bacterial SSU rRNA". It matches the Rfam family "Bacterial small subunit ribosomal RNA", at positions 329 to 793 of the family's 1533-position model. The record is from RNAcentral.